RNAcentral lists this ribosomal RNA (484 nucleotides) under uncultured bacterium. RNAcentral describes it as "partial 16S ribosomal RNA". It matches the Rfam family "Bacterial small subunit ribosomal RNA", at positions 30 to 507 of the family's 1533-position model. The record is from RNAcentral.
AUUGAACGCUGGCGGCAGGCCUAACACAUGCAAGUCGAGCGGAUGAAGGGAGCUUGCUCCUGGAUUCAGCGGCGGACGGGUGAGUAAUGCCUAGGAAUCUGCCUGGUAGUGGGGGAUAACGUCCGGAAACGGGCGCUAAUACCGCAUACGUCCUGAGGGAGAAAGUGGGGGAUCUUCGGACCUCACGCUACCAGAUGAGCCUAGGUCGGAUUAGCUAGUUGGUGGGGUAAAGGCAUACCAAGGCGACGAUCCGUAACUGGUCUGAGAGGAUGAUCAGUCACACUGGAACUGAGACACGGUCCAGACUCCUACGGGAGGCAGCAGUGGGGAAUAUUGGACAAUGGGCGAAAGCCUGAUCCAGCCAUGCCGCGUGUGUGAAGAAGGUCUUCGGAUUGUAAAGCACUUUAAGUUGGGAGGAAGGGCAGUAAGUUAAUACCUUGCUGUUUUGACGUUACCAACAGAAUAAGCACCGGCUAACUUCGUG